CGGAUCGGGGGGGGGGUUCUUAGCGCACGCAAAAAGUCCUUAUAUUUAUACGCUCAGUAAUUGGGAAUAACGAUUGCCGUGGAUUUUCUUCUGCUGGCAGGCACCCGUCGGCUUUGGAACUUUGUUCCUCAAAAAGCACGUGCCAUCACGGCGAAAAAGGGCAGGGAAAUGUUUUGCGUGCUUUUGAGCAGGGCCUAGUGGCUAAAAGUGGAAGGACGUCCAACGUGCAGGGGGGCUUUAAGAAUAUAGGAUACCGAAUUAUACAACUGCGCCCCCGUUAGGCUGGUGUAUAGGCCACGUUAGUGUAUAUUUUGCAAAAUGAUCCCAACACUUUUAAUUGCUCGCUAUUGCUUAACAUGGUGGCGUAAAAGUAUUAUCUCUCCCCCAUGCUCUCAGUUUCGUUUAUAUAGGCGAUGCUCUGCUCAGACUGGCUGAAUAUAGCUGGAGGGAGUUAUGCUCAUAGCAGAGCAUCUACUGCCAAGGGUGGAACUGGUGGUGGACUUUAGGCUCUCCAGAACAAAUGCUAGUGUCUUCCUUUUCCUCAUGGAAAGAAAACUACAUGAAGGAGCCGUUGCUCUUCGACUAAAGCUGCUGUGAGGAUGCACUAUUUUAAAAUAAAAUAAUAAAAUAAAAAACUAUUGUGUGGCUCUCUGUUGACUUUGAAGCACUGCCUUUGAACUGGUGCAUGGCCGAUUCCAUGGCCUCACCGGCUACGCUACAGUGCAAAAGUAAAGGACUUGCUUAUAACUGGUGCUGCUCAGCUGAAAUCUGAGUGAUUCUUUUAAGGGCAAGUUACAUUUCA
Podarcis muralis (Common wall lizard) is the source of this 802-nucleotide non-coding RNA. Lineage: Eukaryota; Metazoa; Chordata; Lepidosauria; Squamata; Lacertidae. The record is from RefSeq and is a predicted model, not a curated record.